UGCCGAUGCCCCGGUGGAGAAGCUGAGGUCAACAUCAGAUUUGAAAUAUUUAAAGUGGAUACAAAACUAUUUCAACAAUGCAGACAAUUAAGUGUGUUGUUGUGGGCGAUGGUGCUGUUAGUAAAACAUGUCUCCUGAUAUCCUACACAACAAAUAAAUUUCCAUCAGAAUAUGUACCAACUGUUUUUGACAAUUAUGCAGUCAGUUAUGAUUGGUGGAGAACCAUAUACUCUUGGGCUUUUUGAUACUGCAGAGCAAGAGCAUUAUGACAGAUUACUACUACUGAGUUAUCCACAGACAGAUGUAUUUCUAGUCUGUUUUUCAGUGGUCUCUCCACCUUCAUUUGAAAAUGUGAAAGAAAAGUGGGUUCCUGAGAUAACUCACCACUGUCCAAAGCCUCCUUUCUUGCUUGCUGGGACCCAAACUAAUCUCAGAGAUGACCCCUCUAUUAUUGAGAAACUUUCCAAGAACAAACAGAAGCCUGUCACUCCAGAGACUGCUGAAAAGCUGGUCCAUGACCUGAAGGCUGUAAGGUAUGUGGAGUGUUCCGCACUCACACAGAAAGGCCUAAAGAAUGUAUUUGACGAAGCAAUAUUGGCUGCCAUGGAGCCUCCAGAAUUGAAGAAGAGCCGCAGGUGUGUGCUGCUAUGAACAUCUCUCCAGAGCCCUUUCUGCACAACUAGUGUCGGCAUCAUACUAAAAGCAGUGUUUAAAUCAAACUAAAGAUUAAAAAUUAAAAUUCAUUUUUGGAAUAAUGACAAAUGCCCUGCACCUACCCACAUGCACUCAUGUGAGACAAGGCCCAUAGGCAUGGCCCUUCCCCCUCCCAGGACUAGUUAAUUUUGAGUUAUUGUGUAUUGUCAGAAAAGUGAUUAGUACUAGUUUUUGUUUUGUUUCAAAAAAUUU
Molecule: RNA transcript, 906 nt
Organism: Mandrillus leucophaeus (drill)
Lineage: Eukaryota; Metazoa; Chordata; Mammalia; Primates; Cercopithecidae
Gene name: cell division control protein 42 homolog pseudogene
Exons: 1
Source: RefSeq, a predicted model, not a curated record